UACGGGGGGGGCAAGCGUUGUUCGGAAUUACUGGGCGUAAAGGGCUCGUAGGCUGCCAACUAAGUCAGACGUGAAAUCCCUCGGCUUAACCGGGGAACUGCGUCUGAUACUGGAUGGCUUGAGAUUGGGAGAGGGAUGCGGAAUUCCAGGUGUAGCGGUGAAAUGCGUAGAUAUCUGGAGGAACACCGGUGGCGAAGGCGGCAUCCUGGACCGGUAUUGACGCUGAGGCGCGAAAGCUAGGGGAGCAAACGGG
Molecule: ribosomal RNA, 253 nt
Filed under: uncultured bacterium
Lineage: Bacteria
Description: partial 16S ribosomal RNA
Rfam family: Bacterial small subunit ribosomal RNA
Source: RNAcentral